RNAcentral lists this transfer RNA (70 nucleotides) under Marmota monax (woodchuck). RNAcentral describes it as "tRNA.Thr". The record is from RNAcentral. Lineage: Eukaryota; Metazoa; Chordata; Mammalia; Rodentia; Sciuridae.
GGAUGUGGCUCAGUGGUAAAGUGCUUACCUAGUGUGUGUGAGGCCCUGAGUUCAAUCGUCAGCACUGCCA